Podarcis lilfordi (Lilford's wall lizard) is the source of this 4460-nucleotide non-coding RNA. The record is from the annotation of a GenBank genome assembly. Lineage: Eukaryota; Metazoa; Chordata; Lepidosauria; Squamata; Lacertidae.
AAGACUCCAACUGCCAUCAGGUAAGAUGGGAGUUCUAGUCAAGUAAAAUUUGAAAAGCCACAGGUGAGAUACCCAUGUGGUCCUUAUUUAGUAUAUGUGAGAGAUAUUCCUGGGAAAGGCUGGCCACUUAUACAACACCAAAAAAGAGGACAAGGGAAAUCACAUAUUUACAUAAACUUGGCAUAUUCUAAUUUAUAUUCAGUAUUCCUGAAGGAGCGUCUCCACCCCCAUCGUUCAGCCUGGACACUGAGGUCCAGCUCUGAGGGCCUUCUGGCAGUUCCUUCACUGUGAGAAGUGAAGUUACAGUGAACCAGGCAGAGGGCCUUCUCGGUAGUGGUGCCCGCCCUGUGAAACGCCCUCCCAUCAGAUGUCAAGGAAAUAAACAACUAUCUGACUUUUAGAAGACAUCUGAAGGCAAUCCUGUUUAGGGAAGUUUUUAAUGUCUGAUGUUUUAUUGUAUUUUUAAUAUUUUGUUGGAAGCUGCCCAGAGUGACUAGGGAAACCCAGCCAGAUGGGUGGGGAUAUAAAUUAUUAUUAUGGAUCAGCUCAUUUUUUGAAAGAAUUACUGUAUAUUAAAUAGAAAUUCCCACUAUGGUGAGAUGUAAAAGUAAUCAGGUGACUUGUGUGACUGCUCAGUUUGCUCUCCAAGUAGGUAAAAAAGGUAAAUGACCCUUGGACAGUUAAGUCCAGUCAAAGGCAACAAUGGGGUGCAGAGCUCAUCUCACUUUUCAGGCCAAGGGAGCUGGCAUUUGUCCACAGACACCUUUCCCGGUCAUGUGGCCAGCAUGACUAAACCGCUACUGGUGCAACGGAACACCGUGAUGGAAACCAGGGCACAUGGAAAUGCCGUUUACCUUCCCACCAUAGUGGUACUUAUUUAUCUACUUGCACUGGUGUGCUUUCGAACUGCUAGGUUGGCAGGAGCUGGGACUGAGCAACGGAAGCUCAUCCCAUUGCGCUGAUUCGAACUGCCAACUUUGACCGGCAGUCCCAAGAGGCUCAGUGAUUUAGACUGCAGUGCCACCCAUUCUGUUGACAAGCAAAUUCAAGGACCCUGCUCUCUUUCCUUGUCUGGGCAGGCCCUCAAGCAGAGUUCAAAUAGAGGAGAAACAGACCAGACAAGAAAGGAGGAUGAGUGGCGUUAUAUGUCAGGGAUGUGUAUACCUGUGAAGAGAUCCAAGAUUUAGAACCUCAAAGCCAAAGUGAGAGCAUUUGGGUCAAAAUUAAGGGAGAGAAGAAUAACAGUGACCUCAUUGUGGGAGUUUACUAUAGAUCCCCAAGCCAAACGGAGGACAUAGAUGAUGCCUUCCUGGAACAGAUGACCAAGCAUGCAAAAGGAAGGGAGAUAGUAGUAAUGGGGGACUUCAGUUACCUGGAUAUUUGUUGGAUGUCCAACUCAGCCAAGAGCAUAAGGUCAAACAGAUUCCUCACUGGCCUUGCAGACAACUUCAUUGUCCAGAAAGUGGGAGACGCAACAAGAGGAACAGCCAUUUUAGAUCUGGUCCUAACCAAUGUUGAUGACCUGGUUAGUGGGGUAGAAGUGGAAGGAUCAUUAGGCGUGAGUGAUCAUGCUCUUCUGAAGUUUACUAUACAGCGGAAAGGAGCAGCCAAGCAUACUAGGACUCAAUUUCUUGACUUUAAGAAAGCCGACUUCAUAAAACUUAGGGAAGUGCUGGGUGAGAUCCCAUGGACAGUAAUACUAAAAGGAAAGGGAGUUCAUGAUGGCUGGGAGUUUGUUAAGAGGGAGAUAGUAAAAGCACAACUUCAGGCAACACCAAUGAGACGGAAACAUGGAAGGUGCCUAAAGAAGCCAGGGUGGCUAUCUAAAGAACUUUUAACUGAGUUAAGAUUUAAAAAGGAUGUGUACAAAAAUGGAAAAGGGGAAACCACCAAAGAGGAAUUCAAACAAAUAGCCAGCACGUGUAGACACAAAGUCAGAAAAGCUAAAGCACAGAAUGAACUCAGGCUUGCUAGAGAGGUUAAAAGCAACAAAAAGGCUUUUAUGGGUAUGUUCAGUAGCAAAAGGAAGAACAAAGAAACAGUGGGGUCACUCAGAGGAGAAGAUGGUGAAAUGCAAACAGGGGACACAGAAAGGGCUGAACUCCUCAAUGCCUUCUUUGCCUCAGUCUUCUCCGAUAAAGAAAACAAUGCCCGACCUGAAGAAUUUGGAGCAAAUGAUUCAGCAGAGGAAACACAGCCCAGAAUAACUAAGGAGAUAGUACAAGAAUACUUGGCUAGUUUAGAUGUAUUCAAGUCUCCAGGGCCAGAUGAACUGCAUCCAAGAGUAUUAAAAGAACUGGCAGAUGUGAUCUCAGAACCACUGGCAGUCAUCUUUGAGAAUUCCUGGAGAACAGGCGAAGUCCCGGCAGACUGGAGGAGGGCAAAUGUUGUCCCUAUUUUCAAAAAGGGGAAAAGAGAGGACCCAAAUAAUUACCGCCCAGUCAGUCUGACAUCAAUACCAGGGAAGAUUCUGGAGCAGAUCAUUAAGCAAACAGUCUGUGAGCACCUAGAAAGGAAUGCUGUGAUCACCAAUAGUCAGCAUGGGUUUCUGAAAAAUAAGUCAUGUCAGACUAACCUGAUCUCGUUUUUUUUGACAGAAUUACAAGCCUGGUAGAUGAAGGGAACGCAGUGGAUGUAGCCUACCUUGAUUUCAGCAAGGCAUUUGACAAGGUGCCCCAUGAUAUUCUUGUAAAGAAGCUGGUAAAAUGCAGUCUUGACUAUGCUACCACUCAGUGGAUUUGUAACUGGCUGACUGACCGAACCCAAAGGGUGCUCAUCAAUGGUUCCUCUUCAUCCUGGAGAAGAGUGACUAGUGGGGUGCCACAGGGUUCUGUCUUGGGCCCGGUCUUAUUCAACAUCUUUAUCAACGACUUAGAUGAUGGACUCAAGGGCAUCCUGAUCAAAUUUGCAGAUGACACCAAACUGGGAGGGGUGGCUAACACCCCAGAGGACAGGAUCACACUUCAAAAUGACCUUGACAGAUUAGAGAACUGGGCCAAAACAAACAAGAUGAAUUUUAACAGGGAGAAAUGUAAAGUAUUGCACUUGGGCAAAAAAAAAAUGAGAGGCACAAAUACAAGAUGGGUGACACCUGGCUUGAGAGCAGUACAUGUGAAAAGGAUCUAGGAGUCUUGGUUGACCACAAACUUGACAUGAGCCAACAGUGUGACGUGGCAGCUAAAAAAGCCAAUGCAAUUCUGGGCUGCAUCAAUAGGAGUAUAGCAUCUAGAUCAAGGGAAGUAAUAGUGCCACUGUAUUCUGCUCUGGUCAGACCUCACCUGGAGUACUGUGUCCAGUUCUGGGCACCACAGUUCAAGAAGGACACUGACAAACUGGAACGUGUCCAGAGGAGGGCAACCAAAAUGGUCAAAGGCCUGGAAACGAUGCCUUAUGAGGAACGGCUAAGGGAGCUGGGCAUGUUUAGCCUGGAGAAGAGGAGGUUAAGGGGUGAUAUGAUAGCCAUGUUCAAAUAUAUAAAAGGAUGUCACAUAGAGGAGGGAGAAAGGUUGUUUUCUGCUGCUCCAGAGAAGUGGACACGGAGCAAUGGAUCCAAACUACAAGAAAGAAGAUUCCACCCAAACAUUAGGAAGAACUUCCUGACAGUAAGAGCUGUUUGACAGUGGAAUUUGCUGCCAAGGAGUGUGGUGAAGUCUCCUUCUUUGGAGGUCUUUAAGCAGAGGCUUGACAACCAUAUGUCAGGAGUGCUCUGAUGGUGUUUCCUGCUUGGCAGGGGGUUGGACUCGAUGGCCCUUGUGGUCUCUUCCAACUCUAUGAUUCUAUGAUUCUAUGAUUGUGUAAAGUAGGACACAUCUUAUUUUGCUCUGGACAUCCCUUCACAUACAAUGGAAAGCUAUUCUUGUGGGCUGUCCAACCCAAGCAAUUUCUUGUGAGCUGUGUUGAUGGCUGGGAGUGACCACAUGUCUAAGCAACCUAUGCAUGUAUACAGCAGCAGUGAGCAUUUUAAGAGGCCAAAUGCCAUGUAUAUUGGGCAUGAACACAGCCCAACAUUUUUUUUAACAAAAAGACCCAUGGAAACCUCCACUUUAUGCAGCUGGAAUACUGCUAUAAAACAUCAACUCACUUUAUCAAAAAGGAAUAGGAAAUGUACUGUAGUUCCUACUCAAACCCCAAACUGACAGAUUCUGCUUUUUGUCUAGGUGUCAGCUCUUCAAAUACAAAAAGGCCAGGCUCACUCCCUCCUCACUCACCCCUCUUUCCCUAGGUGCUGCACUAGCCCUAGCCCUACUGAGCUUGCAAUAUAGCUAGCUACUACCCAGAAGUCAUUCUCAUCCAUCACUCUGGCUAACAAUGACAGUCUCCUGCCGGACUGGUUCUUACUGCUCUGGCUCCGUUGAUGUCACUGACAAUAGACAGACACAUUUGUCAUAAUUAUGGGGCGGGGGAAACCUCCAUUAAUUGGAAAGCAUGUUGCUUGGCCUUAAGUCAGCACAGCUAUCGAU